AGCCGCGUAGACAUUUGUAUAGAAUAAAUCUCUACCAUUACAUAUCCCAAUCUCGAUUUCAACAUAUCUAACCUAUAAAUCAAAUAGCCAUUGGGCCUUGAAGAGUAUUGCUAGGCUUCCAUCAUGGUUGUGUCCAUGUAACCACUUCUAAUCAAAUUGGUGCCCUCUAACGAAGCCGAAACUGGGCCGAUUGAAAGCAACGCAUGUCCAUAAAAGGGUGAAUAUCAUCUUCAGUACCUUGGGGCCCUCAAAUUGGUGGCAGAUCAUGAAGCAAUCUUUAGCUAAAAAACCAAAUCUUGCUAGGUAAAAUUUGUACAAACCCAAUAAUGCCCGGGCCCAACUAAACCUAGAAUGGCCCAACACCUAACCCAAACUAAACAGCCCACUAACUAAAUUCCAGCAGCAACCCUAGCAGCAUACAACCUUCAACCCUAGCCGCCGCACAUCAGCCCUGCACCACCACCCUUUGCGCACGUACGUGUCCCACGUACAUCCCCAGUUGGCUGAAUCUGAGCAACAAACGGCAAAACAGACGCAAAGAACAAGUAAACGAAAGAGAAAAACGCAAAAAAGGAGAGAACAACGGAAAUACAAAGUUGUUGUGUUAUUUCUUUGAUUUUUUCUUUAUUUUUUCGGCUAUAUAAAGUCGAGGAAAAUCUGUAAAUAUGGGGGGAUUUUUGGUGUAAAAGAGGACGGAGAUAUACGAGAAAUAGAAAAGAAAUACAGAGAAAAUUUAUUUUUCGAAGGUUUUCUACUUUGUUCAUCGUUUCUUUUUGUAUAUAUCUAUAUUAUUUUUCUUUUUAUUUUCGUUUUAGUUUACUUAAAACAACAAAGAAAAGAGAGGAAAAGGCUUGCCUUUAGCCGAAACCGUCGAAUCGGUCCCCCUCCGUCGCGAUCGGAGGUCGGGGCGUCGUCGGAGGCCGUGGAAUGGCUUGAGCGGUGGCGGCGGCGGCAUGGAAAAGAAACCCUAGCAGAGAGUUUCUCUGCUAUUGCUUUUAAAAAAGGGAAAAAAAUGAAUUUUGGUGAAAAUUUUGGCCUUUUAUAAU
This 1046-nucleotide long non-coding RNA is filed under the name Gossypium barbadense (sea-island cotton). RNAcentral's name for it is "long non-coding RNA (GBAR_LNC021661)". Lineage: Eukaryota; Viridiplantae; Streptophyta; Magnoliopsida; Malvales; Malvaceae. The record is from RNAcentral.